Molecule: ribosomal RNA, 622 nt
Filed under: uncultured fungus
Lineage: Eukaryota; Fungi
Description: eukaryotic LSU rRNA
Rfam family: Eukaryotic large subunit ribosomal RNA
Source: RNAcentral
CCCGCUGAACUUAAGCAUAUCAAUAAGCGGAGGAAAAGAAACCAACAGGGAUUGCCUUAGUAACGGCGAGUGAAGCGGCAACAGCUCAAAUUUGAAAUCUGGCUCACGCCCGAGUUGUAAUUUGUAGAGGAUGCUUCGGGUGAAGCCGCGGUCCAAGUCCCUUGGAACAGGACGUCAUAGAGGGUGAGAACCCCGUACCUGGCCGCCGGUGCCCCCCGCUGUGAAGCUCCUUCGACGAGUCGAGUUGUUUGGGAAUGCAGCUCUAAAUUGGUGGUAAAUUCCAUCUAAAGCUAAAUACCGGCCAGAGACCGAUAGCGCACAAGUAGAGUGAUCGAAAGAUGAAAAGCACUUUGAAAAGAGAGUUAAAAAGUACGUGAAAUUGUUGAAAGGGAAGCGCUUGCGGCCAGACUUGCCCGCGGUUGCUCAGCCCGCCCUUUGGCGGGUGCACUCUUCCGCGGUCAGGCCAGCAUCGGUUUGGGCGGUCGGACAAAGGCGUUGGGAACGUGACCUCCCCUCGGGGAGGUGUUAUAGCCCGGCGCGUAAUGCGACCAGCCCGGACCGAGGUUCGCGCUCUGCUAGGAUGCUGGCGUAAUGGCCGUAAGCGGCCCGUCUUGAAACACGG